RNAcentral lists this ribosomal RNA (944 nucleotides) under uncultured archaeon. RNAcentral describes it as "bacterial SSU rRNA". It matches the Rfam family "Archaeal small subunit ribosomal RNA", at positions 1 to 922 of the family's 1478-position model. The record is from RNAcentral.
UUCCGGUUGAUCCUGCCGGACCCCACUGCUAUCGGGAUAGGACUAAGACAUGCUAGUCAAGCGCUUCUAGCUAAUAUGAAAGUGCGGCAUACAGCUCAGUAACACGUGGCUAACCUGCCCUUGGGACGGAGACACCCCCGGGAAACUGGGGUUAAUUUCCGAUAGGUGAAAAAUUCUGGAAUGAAUUUUCGCUCAAAAGAGGUUUAUGUUAUGCUCAUAUUCUUCGCCCAGGGAUGGGGCCGCGACCGAUCAGGUUGUUGGUGAGGUAAUGGCUCACCAAGCCUUUUACCGGUACGGGCCGUGAGAGCGGGAGCCCGGAGAUGGGCACUGAGACAAGGGCCCAGGCCCUACGGGGCGCAGCAGUCGCGAAAACUUUGCAAUACACGAAAGUGUGACAAGGCUAUCCCGAGUGCCAUCCGCUGAGGAAGGCUUUUACCCAGUAUAAAUAGCUGGGAGAAUAAGGAGAGGGCAAGACUGGUGUCAGCCGCCGCGGUAAUACCAGCUCUCCGAGUAGUGUGGAUGUUUAUUGGGCCUAAAGCAUCCGUAGCUUGCUAGGCAAGUCCCCUGUUAAAUCCACCGAUUCAAUCGAUGGUUUGCGGGGGAUACUGUUUGGCUAGGGGACGGGAGAGGUCGACGGUAUUUCCGGGGUAGGGGUGAAAUCCUAUAAUCCCGGGAGGACCACCAGUGGCGAAGGCUGUCGACUAGAACGCGCCCGACGGUGAGGGAUGAAAGCUGGGGGAGCGAACCGGAUUAGAUACCCGGGUAGUCCCAGCUGUAAACGAUGCAGGCUAGGUGUUUGGGCGGCCACGAGCCGCCCUAGUGCCGCAGGGAAGCUGUUAAGCCUGCCGCCUGGGGAGUACGGCCGCAAGGCUGAAACUUAAAGGAAUUGGCGGGGGAGCACCACAAGGGGUGAAGCUUGCGGUUUAAUUGGAUUCAACGCCGGA